RNAcentral lists this ribosomal RNA (215 nucleotides) under Campeiostachys nutans. Its description in RNAcentral is "Elymus nutans partial small subunit ribosomal RNA". The stretch from base 38 to 215 matches the Rfam family "Eukaryotic small subunit ribosomal RNA", at positions 685 to 864 of the family's 1831-position model. Lineage: Eukaryota; Viridiplantae; Streptophyta; Magnoliopsida; Poales; Poaceae. The record is from RNAcentral.
GGACCAUCAUGUCGGUCGUGCCUUGGUACGUACUGGCAUUAUUGGUUUCUCCCUUCUGACGAACCAUGAUGUCAUUAAUUUGGUGUUAUGGGGAAUCAGGACUGUUACUUUGAAAAAAUUAGAGUGUUUAAAGCAGGCUCACGCUUGAAUACAUUAGCAUGGAAUAACGGAAUAGGACGUUUGAUUCUAUUUUGUUGGUUUCUAGGAUCGCCGUA